This 513-nucleotide ribosomal RNA is filed under the name uncultured bacterium. RNAcentral describes it as "partial 16S ribosomal RNA". It matches the Rfam family "Bacterial small subunit ribosomal RNA", at positions 28 to 507 of the family's 1533-position model. The record is from RNAcentral.
GACGAACGCUGGCGGCGUGCUUAACACAUGCAAGUCGAACGAAAAGAGGGAAAGAGCUUGCUCUUUCCGGAAUUGAGUGGCAAACGGGUGAGUAACACGUAAACAACCUGCCUUCAGGAUGGGGACAACAGACGGAAACGACUGCUAAUACCGAAUACGUUCCAAGAGCCGCAUGGCCCAUGGAAGAAAAGGUGGCCUCUACCUGUAAGCUAUCGCCUGAAGUGGGGUUUGCGUCGGAUUAGCUGGUUGGAGGGGUAAAGGCCCACCAAGGCGACGAUCAGUAGCCGGUCUGAGAGGAUGAACUGCCACACUGGGACUGAGACACGGUCCAGACUCCUACGGGAGGCAGCAGUGGGGAAUCUUCCGCAAUGGGCGAAAGCCUGACGGAGCAACGCCGCGUGAGUGAUGACGGUCUUCGGGUUGUAAAACUCUGUGAUCCGGGACGAAAAGGCAGAGGGCGAAGAACAAACUGCAGUGACGGUACCGGAAAAGCAAGCCACGGCUAACUACGUG